AGAGUUUGAUCCUGGCUCAGGACGAACGCUGGCGGCGUGCUUAACACAUGCAAGUCGAACGAGAAAGCUACCUUCGGGUAGUAAGUAAAGUGGCGAACGGGUGAGUAACGCGUGGGUAUCUACCUUUAAGUCCGGGAUAACUUCCUGAAAGGGAAGCUAAUACUGGAUAAUCUCCUUCGGGAGCAAAGGCGGUUUUGCUGUCACUUAAAGAUGAACCUGCGUCCCAUUAGCUAGUUGGUAAGAUAACAGCUUACCAAGGCAACGAUGGGUAGCCGGCCUGAGAGGGCGAUCGGCCACACUGGGACUGAGGCACGGCCCAGACUCCUACGGGAGGCUGCAGUGGGGAAUCUUCCGCAAUGGGCGAAAGCCUGACGGAGCAACGCCGCGUGAGUGAUGAAGGCUUUCGAGUCGUAAAGCUCUGUCUUUAGGGACGAACCACUCAUUUGUGAAAGCAGGUGGGCUUGACGGUACCUAAAGAGGAAGCCCCGGCUAAUUACGUGCCAGCAGCCGCGGUAAUACGUAAGGGGCAAGCGUUGUCCGGAAUCACUGGGCGUAAAGGGUACGCAGGCGGUCUAUCCUGUCAUAGGUGAAAGCCAUCGGCUUAACCGAUGAAGUGCCUUUGAAACUGUUAGACUUGAGGACAGGAGAGGAAAGUGGAAUUCCCGGUGUAGUGGUGAAAUACGUAGAGAUCGGGAAGAAUACCAAUGGUGAAAACAGCUUUCUGGCCUGUAACUGACGCUGAGGUACUAAAGCUAGGGUAGCAAACGGGAUUAGAUACCCCGGGUAGUCCUGCCUGUAAACGCUGGACACUGAGUGUUGGGGGUCUAACCUCCUUCAGUGCUGACGCUAACGCCGCGUUAAGUGUCCCGCCUGGGGAUUACGACCGCAAGGUUGAAACUCAAAGGAAUUGACGGGGGCCCGCACAAGCGGCGGAGCAUGUGGUUUAAUUCGAUGCAACGCGAAGAACCUUACCAGGACUUGACAUCCCGUGACCGUCUAUGAAAGUAGACUUUGGCUCUUUGAGUCACACGGUGACAGGUGGUGCAUGGCUGUCGUCAGCUCGUGUCGUGAGAUGUUGGGUUAAGUCCCGCAACGAGCGUAACCCUUGUCCUUAGUUGCCAGCGAGUAGUGUCGGGGACUCUAAGGAGACUGCCGGGGGAGCAACCCGGAGGAAGGUGAGGACGACGUCAAGUCAUCAUGCCCCUUAUGUCCUGGGCUACACACGUGCUACAAUGGUCUGUACAGAGGGAGGCGAUACCGCGAGGUUGAGCUAAUCCCAGAAAGCAGAUCUCAGUUCGGAUUGCAGGUUGCAACUCGCUUGCAUGAAGCUGGAGUCGCUAGUAAUCGUGGAUCAGAACGCCACGGUGAAUCCGUUCCCGGGCCUUGUACACACCGCCCGUCACACCACCCGAGUUGGGGGCACCAGAAGUCACUUUUAGUGCCGAAGGUGCGCCUGAUAAGGGGGGUGAAGUCGUAACAAGGUAACCGUA
RNAcentral lists this ribosomal RNA (1490 nucleotides) under uncultured Bacillota bacterium. RNAcentral describes it as "uncultured Firmicutes bacterium 16S ribosomal RNA". It matches the Rfam family "Bacterial small subunit ribosomal RNA". Lineage: Bacteria; Bacillati; Bacillota. The record is from RNAcentral.